GAUGAAGAACGCAGCGAAAUGCGAUACGUAAUGUGAAUUGGAGAAUUCAGUGAAUCAUCGAGUCUUUGAACGCACAUUGCGCCCCCUGGUAUUCCGGGGGGCAUGCCUGUCCGAGCGUCAUUGCUGCCCUCAAGCACGGCUUGUGUGUUGGGCCUCCGUCCUCCUCCCGGGGGACGGGCCCGAAAGGCAGCGGCGGCACCGCGUCCGGUCCUCGAGCGUAUGGGGCUUCGUCACCCGCUCUUGUAGGCCCGGCCGGCGCUUGCCGACACAUCAAUCUUUUUUCCAGGUUGACCUCGGAUCAGGUAGGGAUACCCGCUGAACUUAAGCAUAUCAAUAAGCGGAGGA
RNAcentral lists this unclassified non-coding RNA (345 nucleotides) under soil metagenome. RNAcentral describes it as "partial contains 5.8S ribosomal RNA, internal transcribed spacer 2, and large subunit ribosomal RNA". The stretch from base 1 to 120 matches the Rfam family "5.8S ribosomal RNA", at positions 35 to 154 of the family's 154-position model. The record is from RNAcentral.